Molecule: transfer RNA, 69 nt
Filed under: Antedon mediterranea
Lineage: Eukaryota; Metazoa; Echinodermata; Crinoidea; Comatulida; Antedonidae
Description: transfer RNA-Val
Source: RNAcentral
CACAAUGUAGCUUAAAAAAAGCCCCUCCCUUACAAGAAGAAGAAGUUUAUGAGAAUUAAACCGUCGUGA